UUUUUAAUAUAUGUAUAGUUGUACAAUCACCACUACAAUCCAGUUUUAGAUCAUUUCCAUCAACCCAAAAAGACUUCUUGUGCCAGUUUG
Non-coding RNA from Ceratotherium simum simum (southern white rhinoceros), 90 nucleotides. NCBI's taxonomy places the organism in Eukaryota, Metazoa, Chordata, Mammalia, Perissodactyla, Rhinocerotidae. The record is from RefSeq and is a predicted model, not a curated record.